This 145-nucleotide non-coding RNA is filed under the name Sediminibacillus halophilus. Its description in RNAcentral is "FMN sequence". It matches the Rfam family "FMN riboswitch aptamer (RFN element)". Rfam says of the family: The RFN element is a highly conserved domain that is found frequently in the 5'-untranslated regions of prokaryotic mRNAs that encode for flavin mononucleotide (FMN) biosynthesis and transport proteins. This element is a metabolite-dependent riboswitch that directly binds FMN in the absence of proteins. Lineage: Bacteria; Bacillati; Bacillota; Bacilli; Caryophanales; Bacillaceae. The record is from RNAcentral.
GAAUUCCUUUGGGGCAGGGUGUAAAUCCCGACCGGCGGUGAUGGACAAGUUGAUGUCCUCAGUCCGUGACCCGCUUGCGUAAGCAGCGGUGGAUUUGGUGUAAUUCCAAAGCCGACAGUUAAAGUCUGGAUGGGAAAAGGAAGCG